Molecule: ribosomal RNA, 292 nt
Filed under: uncultured bacterium
Lineage: Bacteria
Description: partial 16S ribosomal RNA
Rfam family: Bacterial small subunit ribosomal RNA
Source: RNAcentral
GUGUCAGCAGCCGCGGUAAUACAGAGGUCCCAAGCGUUGUUCGGAAUUAUUGGGCGUAAAGGGUGCGUAGGCGGUAGGAUAAGUUAGAUGUGAAAUGUCGGCGCUUAACGUCGAACCUGCAUUUAAGACUGUCCUGCUUGAGCGCUAGAGAGGAGUCUGGAAUUUACGGUGUAGCAGUGAAAUGCGUAGAUAUCGUAAGGAAGGCCAGUGGCGAAAGCGAGACUCUGGCUAGAUGCUGACGCUGAGGCACGAAAGCUGGGGGAGCAAACGGGAUUAGAAACCCGCGUAGUCC